RNAcentral lists this transfer-messenger RNA (409 nucleotides) under human gut metagenome. It matches the Rfam family "transfer-messenger RNA". Rfam says of the family: Bacterial tmRNA, also known as 10Sa RNA or SsrA, is named for its dual tRNA and mRNA-like properties. The record is from RNAcentral.
GGGGAUGUUCUGGAUUUGACAGGAUGAUUGUUUAAAUCAGGCUGCGGGUUCGAGCGCUGUUCUCGGUUAUCAACGAGCAAACAAAUUAAACGCUAAAAAUAACGUUGUAGAUGCAACUGCAGCAUUCGCUGCACGUAGAGCUCCAGAAGCUCUUGCUGCCUAAUUACGCAGUAUGCUACCCGAUAGUAUUCCAACUUGCCGAUGCUAUUGGGCCACCAUGCAAGUACAGUACCUAGAUAGUGGUAUAGGUAUCAAGUUAACCACAAAAGGUUUGUUCUUCCGCAAAAAGAACUUUGUUUGCGAUAUCGGUUAUGUUUCUUUCCGGUCGUAGACAAGAUAAUAAGGAACUAUAUUCGUAGACGCUUGCUUUAUUCCAUUUUGGACGUGGGUUCGACUCCCACCAUCUCCA